UAAAAACUCUAUAGAUCGACUCUAAUAAUAAGGGCUUUAGUUUAAAACUUACAGCGUAUCCACAGCUCCGCGGGGUCUUGUAAAUUGAUUGAUUCUGAAGGAAUUAAGUUGGUGCCAACAUAAUCAAGGCAAUUCUUUCAAAGUAUCUCCACUUGAAAAAAAACAACAAUUUCCUUUUUAUUUGUGAUAAUUAUAGAUAGCGUGACUUUUUUUAAUGGGUCUAUAUAGCCCACUACAUAUCUUUGCAACUCCUGUAAGCUAAGGAUCUGCAAUUAAACCAAAGGUAUUGGGUGUCUGCAGCCUGAGGAGCCGGGGUCGGGAGACAGUCCAGGGUUAUGGUGUCUCCCUCCAUUGCGUAUAAUUCAUUCUGAAAGAGAGAGAAAGAAAAUAUAGAAGAGGAAGAAGGUAUAUAAUAUAAGAAUUAAACAACGUGUCACGAUGCAAUGAAAAAAUGGAAAUUCUUGGUUAUCAACCUUGGUAGUUUAGUUGGUACAGCGACUGGCGUGUUUAGGCAAAAUUAGGUCCUGUCUGAGGUUAGAUUUUUUUUAUUGACUAAUUCGUAUUCAUAUAAAAAUUAAAAAUAAUGAAAUGAGAUACAUUAUUUACCAACGAAAAAAUGUAACUACGUCCAAUAUUUUAUAUUACCAAUGACUGACAUUGGCACCAAAAAGACAUCUGUAUUAAUUUAGGUAGAUACCCACUCUAGCGACAAAUACUGCAGUCUUAGAAGCAAUCCUAGAGUGUUUUAGACUCCUUGGAAAUUUUCAAAUAAUCUUUUCAUUAUUUCAUAGGUGCUAAUGAUGCCUCCUCGUUUUUUAAAGAAAAUUCAAUGUUUUAUUGACUUAAUUUAUCUCUAACUUGACUACAAUAUAUGAUAAAAAUUCCAGCUAACCUGAUCCGGAAUCAACGGCGCCAUGUUCCUCAACCCCAGCUCCAAGGUCUCCCAGGGGUUCUCUCUUUUGAAUCUCUUCACAAUCCUAUAGAUACCAUCAUCACCCUUCACGUAUCUCUCGUACGCAUCAUUGUCAUCAAAGCUCACGAUAUCCAACUCAUCAUUCAAGUCACUGUCAUCACUCAAUCUUGUAAACUGCAGGUUCAACGAUCUCCUGUUCCGUAUCCAGUCCCACCUUCUCCCCAAACUCUUGAAGGGUAUAAAGAAACUGCUGUCGACAUCUCUAUACUUAAAGCAGCUGAUAUUUUUUACGAAAUUCUCAAAGCUCUUUUCUGGUAAUCUUUUCUGCUGUUCUAUGAUAUGGUCGUAGGUGGCCUUAAUGUCACAAAUUUGACUUGUUUCGGAUGUCCGACGAGAAUCACAGGCCUCUUGAAACAAAGCACGUGUGUUAAAUUCGGGAAAUAUAAAACUGAGAGCUUGCCUGGACGAUCUGGGGAAGAUGUAACAUGUAUUCAGUUGUUUCACAUCCUAAGAUGCGACGGGGAAGGAUAAGGGGAAGUUACUUAAAGGGAGGCAGAAGACAGCGUUAUAGUCAGAUGAACUCAUCAUUGCGUGCAGUCUAUGUGUGGGUGGCUCUUGCAAAUUUACAGUGACGUUGUGUAUUCAUACACAACUACACACAUAGAACCGUGCGUGCAAAUGAGCUGAACUAUUCUUUUUCUACCAUUGACAUUUCGUUGGAUAUUAGUUGCUCUUAAGCAUGUAUUUUUAUCGAAUAUUUUCUGUUAUGUGCUAAAAUGUAUACAAUAAUACAGUAAUACAGUUUUUCAGCAAGCUCCAUUAAUAAUUAGUUUUUUUCUAAUAGCUCCAAAUUUUAAACCUAGAUUUGACAUAGUCUUACACAUACUUGAAAGACUCCCAAGCAUACUAGCUUCCUCACGCUGUUUCCCUACACCAUUUUUUUCAAAAGAGAUCAUUGUUAAAACGCUCUCAAUUUCGAAAAGGGAUGUACAUAGUGCGUGCCGGAAUACGAUCCUACAACCUUUGACUAUCACAAAAGUCUUAGGGUCUAAAGAGACGGACCGCAUUUCAACCGUUACAGCAACCGUCACAUGACUGCAGUUAGAAUGUUCUAUUGCAGUCGUGUCAACUGCAUUCAAAC
Molecule: long non-coding RNA, 2054 nt
Organism: Trichoplusia ni (cabbage looper)
Lineage: Eukaryota; Metazoa; Arthropoda; Insecta; Lepidoptera; Noctuidae
Exons: 3
Source: RefSeq, a predicted model, not a curated record